RNAcentral lists this ribosomal RNA (315 nucleotides) under Triticum aestivum (bread wheat). Its description in RNAcentral is "partial small subunit ribosomal RNA". Lineage: Eukaryota; Viridiplantae; Streptophyta; Magnoliopsida; Poales; Poaceae. The record is from RNAcentral.
AUGUGUGCGCAUAGCCUCCAAGACGAGCUUGACAUGACGAAGGUGAUCCGACCAGGAGGAGUUGUAUAUCAAAAUAUCGUCAAAGAAAACAAGCACAAAGCGACGAAGGAAGGGACGGAGUACUUCGUUCAUUAUUGCCUGGAAUGUCGCUGGAGCAUUUGUCAGACCAAAUGCCAUCACCACAAACUCGAAGAGACCCUCAUGGGUGCGGAACGCCGUCUUGUGGAUAUCUUCAGGGGCCAUCUGAACUUGGUGGUAGCCGGAUCGGAGGUCCAGCUUUGUGAAAAAGCAGGCGCCUUUCAGCUCAUCCAGUAG